RNAcentral lists this unclassified non-coding RNA (1150 nucleotides) under Hevea brasiliensis (rubber tree). The record is from RNAcentral. Lineage: Eukaryota; Viridiplantae; Streptophyta; Magnoliopsida; Malpighiales; Euphorbiaceae.
AGCCAAGAAAGCACAGGCAAAGGAAUAUGGAUUUGAGGAAGAUAAAUCAGAUUCAGAGGAUGAAGAUGAAGGAAUUAGAAAAGCAGGUGGUGACCUCUCUCAGCAGGCUGCUCUUGCUCAGGCUGCUGCUCUUGUUGCUGCUUCCAAAGCGAGUAUGGCUUCAGCAGCAACUCCAGUUUCAGCUGGUCACCUUCUUCCCAAUGGUGGAUUACCUGUUGCAUUGCCUGGUGUACUUGGUAUUAAUAUACCCGGUGCAACAGCAGUUGCUGUUGGAAAUGGACUAUCAGUUGGCUCUAAUGAUGUGACAGCCAGAGCAACAGCAUUGGCAGCUGCCUUGAACUUGCAGCAUAACUUAGCAAAGAUUCAGGCCGAUGCAAUGCCUGAACAUUAUGAAGCAGAAUUAGAGAUUAAUGAUUUUCCUCAAAAUGCUCGUUGGAAGGUUACACACAAGGAGACGUUGGGUCCUAUUUCUGAAUGGACAGGAGCUGCCAUCACCACUCGAGGACAGUAUGUUCCACCUGGCAAGGUACCAGGGUUUGGGGAAAGGAAGCUGUACUUGUUCAUCGAAGGCCCCACCGAGCAAUCUGUCAAGAGAGCAAAAGCAGAGUUAAAACGUGUACUGGAGGACAUUACCAUGCAAGCAUCAUCACUUCCUGGUUCGGCUCAACCAGGCAGAUACUCAGUUGUAUAAGAAUGAACACCGUUGUCAUUAUGAUGUUACUUUUUAUCUAUUAUCUUUUCCGAGCAAAUUAUUUCCUAAAUUUUGUUACUCAAUUUGGAGAUGACUUACUUUGUAAUGAUAUAAACAGGUUUAACUAGAUACAUGAUUCUCAGUGAUCAUCGGCCAUGGUUAGUUCCUCUCCUAUAUUAUCUCAUACCUGUUAUCUGUAUUACUUGAUUCCUUUACUGAUAGUAUCAUCAAAGCUGCUAUUUGAAUUGAAACUGCCACAGGGAGAUUACAUAGAGUUGCCCAGGAAGAAGCAUGGUAUUCAGUCACCCCGACUAAUAUCUUGUUAGGAAAGAAACCCUGUGGUAACUUUUGUAACACAAUUACUUGAAUUUCCUAUUUACUCAUGUUAUAGAGUAGCAGAAUUGCUUGAAUUCUAUGCAUGAGGAAUCAUCAUAUGCACAAGGUUGAUGACGAUUUUCA